AGUGAACGCUGGCGGUAGGCCUAACACAUGCAAGUCGAACGGCAGCACAGGAGAGCUUGCUCUCUGGGUGGCGAGUGGCGGACGGGUGAGGAAUACAUCGGAAUCUACUCUGUCGUGGGGGAUAACGUAGGGAAACUUACGCUAAUACCGCAUACGACCUACGGGUGAAAGCAGGGGAUCUUCGGACCUUGCGCGAUUGAAUGAGCCGAUGUCGGAUUAGCUAGUUGGCGGGGUAAAGGCCCACCAAGGCGACGAUCCGUAGCUGGGCUGAGAGGAUGGUCAGCCGAACUGGAACUGAAACCCUGUCCACGCUCCUACGGGGGGCAGCCGUGGGGAAUAUGGGACAAUGGGCGCAACCCUGAUCCAGCCUUCCCGCGUGGGUGAAGAAGGCCUUCGGGUUGUAAAGCCUUUUUGUGGGGAAAAAAAUCCAGCUGGCUAAUACCCGGUUGGGAUGACGGUACCAAAAGAAUAAGCACCGGCUAACUUCGUGCCACCCGCCGCAGUAA
RNAcentral lists this ribosomal RNA (506 nucleotides) under uncultured bacterium. RNAcentral describes it as "partial 16S ribosomal RNA". It matches the Rfam family "Bacterial small subunit ribosomal RNA", at positions 29 to 523 of the family's 1533-position model. The record is from RNAcentral.